UACGAAGGGUGCAAGCGUUACUCGGAAUUACUGGGCGUAAAGCGUGCGUAGGUGGUUUGUUAAGUCUGUUGUGAAAGCCCCGGGCUCAACCUGGGAAUGGCAAUGGAUACUGGCAAGCUAGAGUGCGGUAGAGGGUAGUGGAAUUCCCGGUGUAGCGGUGAAAUGCGUAGAGAUCGGGAGGAACACCAGUGGCGUAAGCGGCUAUCUGGACGGGUAUUGACGCUGAGGCACGAAAGCGUGGGGAUCAAACAGG
RNAcentral lists this ribosomal RNA (253 nucleotides) under uncultured bacterium. RNAcentral describes it as "partial 16S ribosomal RNA". It matches the Rfam family "Bacterial small subunit ribosomal RNA", at positions 524 to 776 of the family's 1533-position model. The record is from RNAcentral.